This 90-nucleotide transfer RNA is filed under the name Nephroselmis olivacea. Its description in RNAcentral is "tRNA-Ser". It matches the Rfam family "tRNA". Rfam says of the family: Transfer RNA (tRNA) molecules are approximately 80 nucleotides in length. Their secondary structure includes four short double-helical elements and three loops (D, anti-codon, and T loops). Lineage: Eukaryota; Viridiplantae; Chlorophyta; Nephroselmidophyceae; Nephroselmidales; Nephroselmidaceae. The record is from RNAcentral.
GGAGGGGUGGCAGAGCUGGUUGAUUGCGGUUGAUUUGAAAUCAACUAAUCUGUUUUGACAGAUUCAAGGGUUCGAAUCCCUUCUCCUCCG